This 424-nucleotide ribosomal RNA is filed under the name uncultured bacterium. Its description in RNAcentral is "bacterial SSU rRNA". It matches the Rfam family "Bacterial small subunit ribosomal RNA", at positions 356 to 773 of the family's 1533-position model. The record is from RNAcentral.
GGGGAAUAUUGGACAAUGGGGGCAACCCUGAUCCAGCCAUGCCGCGUGUGUGAAGAAGGCCCUCGGGUUGUAAAGCACUUUAAGCGGGGAGGAAGGCCUGAUGGCUAAUAUCCAUCGGGAUUGACGUUACCCGCAGAAUAAGCACCGGCAAACUUCGUGCCAGCAGCCGCGGUAAUACGAAGGGUGCAAGCGUUAAUCGGAAUUACUGGGCGUAAAGCGCGCGUAGGUGGUUAAGUCAGCGAUCUGUGAAAGCCCCGGGCUUAACCUGGAACUGCAGGUCGAACUGCUUGGCUAGAGUAUGGUAGAGGGGUGUGGAAUUUCCUGUGUAGCGGUGAAAUGCGUAGAUAUAGGAAGGAACAUCAGUGGCGAAGGCGACACCCUGGACCGAUACUGACACUGAGGCGCGAAGGCGUGGGUAGCGAAC